RNAcentral lists this ribosomal RNA (1119 nucleotides) under Triticum aestivum (bread wheat). Its description in RNAcentral is "partial small subunit ribosomal RNA". Lineage: Eukaryota; Viridiplantae; Streptophyta; Magnoliopsida; Poales; Poaceae. The record is from RNAcentral.
AUGUUUAAGUUUCCGGCUGCAUUGUGUGAGGAGUUAUCACAGAUUAUAAGGAAUUUUUUGUGGGGUGAUGAGGAGGAUAAGAGCAAGACUCAUCGACUGGCUUGGGAUCAAUUGACAAGUCCUAAAGCUGAGGGAGAGAUGGGAUUCCGAGAUCUCAAACUUUUUAAUCAAGCGCUGUUAGCGAAGCAGGCGUGGAGGUUGGUGGUCAACCCUGAUUCUCUGUGCGCCAAAGCGGUCAAGGCAAAAUAUUACCCACAGGGACUUAUCCUCGACAUUGUAUUUCCUCUGUCGGCCUCACUGCCUUGGCAAGCUCUUAUGCAUGGAUUGGAGUUGCUGAAAUUGGGAGUUAUUUGGAUAGUGCGUGAUGGCUCUAAUAUUAAUAUUUGGAGAGAUAACUGGCUCCCAAGGCACUCUGGACUUAAAAUUACGGCAAGGAAGAGUAGGACGAGAAUGAAAUGGGUGUCUGAUUUGAUUCUGACUGGUCCAAAAGGAUGGGACGAGAAUUUGGUUAGGCACCUAUUUUACCCACAUGAUGCAGAAGAGACCCUUCGGCUGCGUAUUCCAUCUUCACGGGAAGGUGAUUUUGUUGCAUGGCACUUUGAGAAGACGGGGAUGUUUUCAGUUAAAAGCGCGUACAAGCAUGCACUCACGUUAAAGGAACAAAAAGAAGACGAGGGGCAAUACAGAGAUGCAACAUUGGGGGAGAGGAAAAUUUGGGACAUCAUCUGGAAGGCCAAUGUUCCUCAGAAGAUCCAUAUUUUUGCAUGGCGGGUUGCUACCAAUAGUUUGGCUGUCCAAGUAAACAGAAUGGCGCACCACCAAGCGGUUCUCUGUACGUGCUCGAUAUGUGGAGUGGAGGACGAGAAUAUGUUUCAUGCGCUUAUUAUUUGCGCGAAGGCUCAUGCGUUGCGUAUGGCCAUGAGAGAUAUUUGGGAGUUACCUACGGAGGAUGCAUUCAGGUAUACUGAGUCGGAAUGGUUUCUUGUUCUUCUAAGUCCAGUGGGACAGUCUGUGCGGGACAAAAUUAUUUUCAUUUUUUGGAGAGCCUGGCACUUGAGAAAUGAUUUGAUUUUUUGGCAAGGGCACAGAGUCAGUCACAAAUUCAACCAAUUUUGUUGA